Molecule: ribosomal RNA, 433 nt
Filed under: uncultured bacterium
Lineage: Bacteria
Description: partial 16S ribosomal RNA
Rfam family: Bacterial small subunit ribosomal RNA
Source: RNAcentral
AACGAACGCUGGCGGCAUGCCUAACACAUGCAAGUCGAACGAGACCUUCGGGUCUAGUGGCUCACGGGUGCGUAACGCGUGGGAACCUGCCCUUAGGUUCGGAAUAACUCCCCGAAAGGGGUGCUAAUACCGGAUAAUGUCUUCGGACCAAAGAUUUAUCGCCUUUGGAUGGGCCCGCGUUGGAUUAGCUUGUUGGUAGUGUAAAAGCCUACCAAGGCGACGAUCCAUAGCUGGUCUGAGAGGAUGAUCAGCGACACUGGGACUGAGACACGGCCCAGACUACUACGGGAGGCAGCAGUGGGGAAUAUUGGACAAUGGGCGAAAGCCUGAUCCAGCAAUGCCGCGUGAGUGAUGAAGGCCUUAGGGUUGUAAAGCUCUUUUACCCGGGAUGAUAAUGACAGUACCGGGAGAAUAAGCUCCGGCUAACUCCGUG